This 492-nucleotide ribosomal RNA is filed under the name uncultured bacterium. Its description in RNAcentral is "bacterial SSU rRNA". It matches the Rfam family "Bacterial small subunit ribosomal RNA", at positions 28 to 517 of the family's 1533-position model. The record is from RNAcentral.
GAUGAACGCUAGCGGCAGGCCUAAUACAUGCAAGUCGAGGGGCAGCGCGGUAGCAAUACUGGCGGCGACCGGCGCACGGGUGCGUAACACGUAUGCAACCUACCUUCAACUGGAGGAUAGCCCGGGGAAACUCGGAUUAAUACUCCAUAACACAGGGAUCCCGCAUGGGAAUAUUGUUAAAGCUACGGCGGUUGAAGAUGGGCAUGCGUUCGAUUAGCUAGUUGGUGUAGGUAACGGCUCACCAAGGCUACGAUCGAUAGGGGGUCUGAGAGGAUGAUCCCCCACACUGGUACUGAGAUACGGACCAGACUCCUACGGGAGCAGCAGUAGGGAAUAUUGGUCAAUGGGCGCAAGCCUGAACCAGCCAUGCCGCGUGCAGGAAGAAGGCCCUCUGGGUUGUAAACUGCUUUUGAUAGGGAACAAAUGCCACUUGCGAGUGGAGCUGAGUGUACCUAUAGAAUAAGCACCGGCUAAACUCCGUGCCAGCAGCCG